RNAcentral lists this ribosomal RNA (511 nucleotides) under uncultured bacterium. RNAcentral describes it as "bacterial SSU rRNA". It matches the Rfam family "Bacterial small subunit ribosomal RNA", at positions 16 to 518 of the family's 1533-position model. The record is from RNAcentral.
AUCAUGGCUCAGGAUGAACGCUAGCUACAGGCUUAACACAUGCAAGUCGAGGGCAUCAGAUCGAAAGCUUGCCUUGAUGCUGGCGACCGGCGCACGGGUGAGUAACGCGUAUCCAACCUUCCCUAUAGUAGAGAAUAGCCCGGCGAAAGUCGGAUUAAUGCUCUAUGUUGUAUUUAGAGGACAUCUGAAGAAUACCAAAGGUUUACCGCUAUAGGAUGGGGAUGCGUCUGAUUAGGUAGUAGGCGGGGUAACGGCCCACCUAGCCGACGAUCAGUAGGGGUUCUGAGAGGAAGGUCCCCCACAUUGGAACUGAGACACGGUCCAAACUCCUACGGGAGGCAGCAGUGAGGAAUAUUGGUCAAUGGGCGAGAGCCUGAACCAGCCAAGUAGCGUGCAGGAUGACGGCCCUACGGGUUGUAAACUGCUUUUGCGGGAGGAUAAAGGACACUACGUGUAGUGUUUUGCAGGUAUCCCGUGAAUAAGGACCGGCUAAUUCCGUGCCAGCCGCCGC